RNAcentral lists this ribosomal RNA (1553 nucleotides) under Klebsiella pneumoniae. Its description in RNAcentral is "bacterial SSU rRNA". It matches the Rfam family "Bacterial small subunit ribosomal RNA". Lineage: Bacteria; Pseudomonadati; Pseudomonadota; Gammaproteobacteria; Enterobacterales; Enterobacteriaceae. The record is from RNAcentral.
ACUUAAAUUGAAGAGUUUGAUCAUGGCUCAGAUUGAACGCUGGCGGCAGGCCUAACACAUGCAAGUCGAGCGGUAGCACAGAGAGCUUGCUCUCGGGUGACGAGCGGCGGACGGGUGAGUAAUGUCUGGGAAACUGCCUGAUGGAGGGGGAUAACUACUGGAAACGGUAGCUAAUACCGCAUAACGUCGCAAGACCAAAGUGGGGGACCUUCGGGCCUCAUGCCAUCAGAUGUGCCCAGAUGGGAUUAGCUAGUAGGUGGGGUAACGGCUCACCUAGGCGACGAUCCCUAGCUGGUCUGAGAGGAUGACCAGCCACACUGGAACUGAGACACGGUCCAGACUCCUACGGGAGGCAGCAGUGGGGAAUAUUGCACAAUGGGCGCAAGCCUGAUGCAGCCAUGCCGCGUGUGUGAAGAAGGCCUUCGGGUUGUAAAGCACUUUCAGCGGGGAGGAAGGCGGUGAGGUUAAUAACCUCAUCGAUUGACGUUACCCGCAGAAGAAGCACCGGCUAACUCCGUGCCAGCAGCCGCGGUAAUACGGAGGGUGCAAGCGUUAAUCGGAAUUACUGGGCGUAAAGCGCACGCAGGCGGUCUGUCAAGUCGGAUGUGAAAUCCCCGGGCUCAACCUGGGAACUGCAUUCGAAACUGGCAGGCUAGAGUCUUGUAGAGGGGGGUAGAAUUCCAGGUGUAGCGGUGAAAUGCGUAGAGAUCUGGAGGAAUACCGGUGGCGAAGGCGGCCCCCUGGACAAAGACUGACGCUCAGGUGCGAAAGCGUGGGGAGCAAACAGGAUUAGAUACCCUGGUAGUCCACGCCGUAAACGAUGUCGAUUUGGAGGUUGUGCCCUUGAGGCGUGGCUUCCGGAGCUAACGCGUUAAAUCGACCGCCUGGGGAGUACGGCCGCAAGGUUAAAACUCAAAUGAAUUGACGGGGGCCCGCACAAGCGGUGGAGCAUGUGGUUUAAUUCGAUGCAACGCGAAGAACCUUACCUGGUCUUGACAUCCACAGAACUUUCCAGAGAUGGAUUGGUGCCUUCGGGAACUGUGAGACAGGUGCUGCAUGGCUGUCGUCAGCUCGUGUUGUGAAAUGUUGGGUUAAGUCCCGCAACGAGCGCAACCCUUAUCCUUUGUUGCCAGCGGUUAGGCCGGGAACUCAAAGGAGACUGCCAGUGAUAAACUGGAGGAAGGUGGGGAUGACGUCAAGUCAUCAUGGCCCUUACGACCAGGGCUACACACGUGCUACAAUGGCAUAUACAAAGAGAAGCGACCUCGCGAGAGCAAGCGGACCUCAUAAAGUAUGUCGUAGUCCGGAUUGGAGUCUGCAACUCGACUCCAUGAAGUCGGAAUCGCUAGUAAUCGUAGAUCAGAAUGCUACGGUGAAUACGUUCCCGGGCCUUGUACACACCGCCCGUCACACCAUGGGAGUGGGUUGCAAAAGAAGUAGGUAGCUUAACCUUCGGGAGGGCGCUUACCACUUUGUGAUUCAUGACUGGGGUGAAGUCGUAACAAGGUAACCGUAGGGGAACCUGCGGUUGGAUCACCUCCUUACCUUAAAGA